Molecule: long non-coding RNA, 1282 nt
Organism: Conger conger (European conger)
Lineage: Eukaryota; Metazoa; Chordata; Actinopteri; Anguilliformes; Congridae
Exons: 3
Source: RefSeq, a predicted model, not a curated record
GAGGAAGGCACGAGGGGCGGAAGUGGCGAUAAUUUUUGAGACCAUCCAAGACCUUCUACAAAUGUAUGCUGACGAACUACUCUUCUCAUUUUUAGAUUCAUUUAUCUUUUUCUUUUUCUUUUUCGGGCGGAGGAGCGGAUUCAGAUCACUCUCCCAAGAUAUGGGCAUACAUGUAACGAGAAGAAACGCCAGCAUAACCUCAAGAGGGUUCACCGCAAGAUGCAAACCACUGAUGGUGCAUACCUGAAGGCUUUGUACACAGGCCUGUACCAACAGACAAAGGAGCAGGGGGUGAAGAGGAUCACCCAGAGGAUGGCCAGACCCAGGCCCACGCCGUUGGACGUGUCCACGCAGAACAGCGCCAGGCUGGAGAUGAAGUUAAAUAGCAGGGUGGACGCAGAGACUGAGGGGGAGAGGUCAGAGGUCAGAGGUCAGAGGGAAGCAGCAGCUUCAGGAGUGGUUAAUGUACUAGCCCUUUUUCCCCUUAUCCACUUCUGCUACCCUUCAGACCUGGGUCAAAUACGUAAUAGUUUCGGAAUUCAAGUGCUUUUCUGUGCUCGACUGAUCUUGCUUGGUGCACAUGAGCCAACCAAGAGGACCAGAAGGCAGGGUUUGCACUUUUUGAGAGUAUUUCAUAUGUUCCAAUACACCAGACAAGCGUUGAAAAGAAUUUGAAUCCGAAAAUUCAUGUAUUUGACCAAGGUCUGCUGCAGCGACAUGAAUAGAAAUGAAAAUCACAUCAGUCUUCCUCAAUAAUAAUAAUAAUAAUAACAGACUGUACAAUUAAGAUACUGUUAUUCUUUAACACUGCACGCUAAAAUGGAAAUAGUUAUAGCAUUGAGCUACAAGAAUGCCAAUAGAGUUUAAAUGGACCAUCUUGCUGGGCAAUUUUACUAGCUUGUGCUUGAAAAUGUAUGUCAGCAAUCGCCAAGGGAUCCAUAUUAACAAGGUAACAUCUGCAGUUCUGGCGUUCACCUCCAUUGAAGGGGGCGGGACCGCCAGGCCGGCACCACAAACAGAGCCACAGCAUUGGUGGAAAUGUGCAUCCGUCACCGGAGCUCUGAAUACAAUUGGACGCUGGGCUCCGGGAUUGCGUCAGCUGCCAAGCUGAAUGCGGGCUUUGUUGAUUUACGUGCCCACGGGGGCUUAUGGCAGUGCGUGCACGGACAGAUGGACGGACGGACACUCACAGAUCCAGAAGUAGUACAUGAUUUUCACGGUGUGCUGGAAGCUUUGGCUGAUCUCCAGGUCAAUGUCCUGGUAGAAGCAGGGUCCCACGGGA